Molecule: non-coding RNA, 45 nt
Filed under: Schistosoma mattheei
Lineage: Eukaryota; Metazoa; Platyhelminthes; Trematoda; Strigeidida; Schistosomatidae
Source: RNAcentral
AUCCAGCUGAUGAGUCACAAACAGGACGAAAUGCGCAUCCUGGAU